Molecule: ribosomal RNA, 119 nt
Filed under: Pteropus alecto (black flying fox)
Lineage: Eukaryota; Metazoa; Chordata; Mammalia; Chiroptera; Pteropodidae
Source: RNAcentral
GUCUACGGCCAUGCUACCCUGAACAAGUCCAAUCUCAUCUGAUCUCAGAAGAUAAGCAGGGUCAGAUCUGGUUAGUACUUGGAUGGGAGACCACAUAAUAAUAAUAAUAAUAAUAAUAA